GCCUCCUUAGCUCAGUGGUAGAGCAACGCUCUUGUAAAGCGUAGGUCGUCAGUUCAAUCCUGACAGGGGGCUCCA
RNAcentral lists this transfer RNA (75 nucleotides) under Mycobacterium sp. RNAcentral describes it as "tRNA-Thr". It matches the Rfam family "tRNA". Rfam says of the family: Transfer RNA (tRNA) molecules are approximately 80 nucleotides in length. Lineage: Bacteria; Bacillati; Actinomycetota; Actinomycetes; Mycobacteriales; Mycobacteriaceae. The record is from RNAcentral. RNAcentral also lists the same sequence under 14 other names.